UGAGGAAUAUUGGUCAAUGGGCGCAAGCCUGAACCAGCCAUCCCGCGUGCAGGAAGACGGCCCUAUGGGUUGUAAACUGCUUUUCCAGGGGGAGAAUUUUUCUGUCGUGACAGGAAUUGACGGUACCCUGGGAAUAAGCAUCGGCUAACUCCGUGCCAGCAGCCGCGGUAAUACGGAGGAUGCGAGCGUUAUCCGGAUUUAUUGGGUUUAAAGGGUGCGUAGGCGGAUUGAUAAGUCAGUGGUGAAAACCUGCAGCUUAACUGUAGACUUGCCGUUGAUACUGUCAGUCUUGAGUGUGGUCAAGGUAGGCGGAAUGUGUAAUGUAGCGGUGAAAUGCUUAGAUAUUACACAGAGCACCGAUUGCGAAGGCAGCUUACUGGGCCAUUACUGACGCUGAUGCACGAAAGCGUGGGGA
This 415-nucleotide ribosomal RNA is filed under the name uncultured bacterium. RNAcentral's name for it is "bacterial SSU rRNA". It matches the Rfam family "Bacterial small subunit ribosomal RNA", at positions 355 to 767 of the family's 1533-position model. The record is from RNAcentral.